AGAGUUUGAUCAUGGCUCAGGAUGAACGCUAGCGGUGUGCCUAAUACAUGCAAGUCGAGCGAUCCGCAAGGGUAGCGGCGAACGGGUGAGUAACACGUUGGAACCUGCCCCGAACUCAGGGAUACCCAGCCGAAAGGUUGGCUAAUACCGGAUGGUCCCGAAAGGGUAAAGAAUUUCGGUUCGGGAGGGGCCUGCGGCCUAUCAGCUAGUUGGUAAGGUAACGGCUUACCAAGGCUACGACGGGUAGCUGGUGUGAGAGCAUGACCAGCCACAAUGGAACUGCGACACGGUCCAUACUCCUACGGGAGGCAGCAGUAAGGAAUAUUCCGCAAUGGGCGAAAGCCUGACGGAGCGACACCGCGUGGAGGAUGAAAGCAUUUUUGUUGUAAACUCCUUUUCUGGGGGAAUAAAUGAUGAAUGUACCCCAGGAAUAAGCACCGGCUAACUACGUGCCAGCAGCCGCGGUAAUACGUAGGGUGCAAGCGUUAUCCGGAAUCAUUGGGCGUAAAGCGUUCGUAGGCUGUUUGGAAAGUUUGCGGUUAAAUCUGGCCGCUCAACGGUCAAAUUGUCGCAAAAACUACCAAACUGGAGGUUGGCAGAGGCAACUGGAAUUCCGCAUGUAGGGGUAAAAUCCGUUGAUAUGCGGAGGAACACCAAAAGCGAAGGCAGGUUGCUGGGCCAUUCCUGACGCUCAAGAACGAAAGCGUGGGUAGCAAACAGGAUUAGAUACCCUGGUAGUCCACGCCCUAAACCAUGGAUACUCGGUGUAAGGGGGAUUCGACCCCUCCUUGUGCCUAAGCAAACGCGUUAAGUAUCCCGCCUGGGGAGUACGAUCGCAAGAUUAAAACUCAAAGGAAUAGACGGGGACCCACACAAGCGGUGGAACAUGUGGUUCAAUUCGACAGUAAACGGGGAACCUCACCAAGGUUUGACAUCCCGGGAAUCCCGAUGAAAAUCGGGAGUGCCGUAAGGAACCCGGUGACAGGUGCUGCAUGGUCGUCGUCAGCUCGUGCCUUGAGGUGUUCGGUUAAGUCCGUAAACGAGCGCAACCCUUGUCCUAUGUUGCUUUAUCAUAGGAGACUGCCGGCUCCAAGUCGGAGGAAGGCAAGGAUGACGUCAGAUCAGCAUGGCCUUUAUGCCUUGGGCCACACACGUGUUACAAUGGCCGGUACAAUGGGUAGCCAACCCGCAAGGGGGAGCCAAUCCCAACAAAGCCGGUCCCAAUUCGGAUUGAGGGCUGCAACUCGCCCUCAUGAAGCCGGAAUCGCUAGUAAACGCGAAUCAGCCAUGUCGCGUUGAAUAUGUUCCUGGGUCUUGUACUCACCGCCCGUCACAUCAUGAAAGGUGAAGGUACCCGAAGUCGCGUUACCCCGCAAGGGGGCGUGCCUAAGGUAAACUCACUGAUUGGGAUGAAGUCGUAACAAGGUAGCCG
Molecule: ribosomal RNA, 1432 nt
Filed under: uncultured Microgenomates group bacterium
Lineage: Bacteria
Description: SSU rRNA
Rfam family: Bacterial small subunit ribosomal RNA
Source: RNAcentral